UCGGGAUGAAGCGCCGAAAGGAAUUUCAGCAAAGAGAUUUGCAGAGCAGCAUGUCACGGACUUAGCGCUUUCAUUCGCAAAGCCCGUGCAGCGCCCACCUUUCUUCGUAGAGAUGGACAAGCCUUUGUCUUUGUUGCAAGUCCGGACCUUUGCGUCCUAUGACUAAAUAUGGAAAGGAAAAAAACAAGAGAAAGAGGCAAGAGAUUCUCUCAAAAAGCUAAGUACUAUACUAUUUAGAAAAAGAGAUUAUAGCAUACAAACACACUCUCUCUUGUGUGUUUUGGCCUUAGCCAACCCCACCAUUUAUAGACUCCUAAGUACAUUGAAUGUAGUCACUCAACACACCCACUAACUCAUACAUAAUGAGCCCUCAUAAUAGCUAAAAGCUUAAGAAUCACAACAUAACUCAUGACAGUUUUGCAACCAUUGAGUUUCCCACAGCGGGUUGGGUUUGAGUCUCCUUGACAAUCCGAUUCAACCCGUUUUCGUUAGUAGAGUUGGGCCAGGGACCGGGCUGCCACAGAAUUAUUCUAAGUCCCGACACCCUCCUCCACCUAAUGCGCAGGCAUCCUCGUCGCGCGCUGCGUCUGAAACUCGUCGAUGAGUGCUUGGUACUGCCAAAGUGUAUCCGCUUUC
RNAcentral lists this long non-coding RNA (636 nucleotides) under Ananas comosus (pineapple). Its description in RNAcentral is "long non-coding RNA (ACOM_LNC005628)". The record is from RNAcentral. Lineage: Eukaryota; Viridiplantae; Streptophyta; Magnoliopsida; Poales; Bromeliaceae.